This 194-nucleotide ribosomal RNA is filed under the name uncultured bacterium. Its description in RNAcentral is "partial 16S ribosomal RNA". It matches the Rfam family "Bacterial small subunit ribosomal RNA", at positions 338 to 524 of the family's 1533-position model. The record is from RNAcentral.
CCUACGGGAGGCAGCAGUAGGGAAUCUUCCGCAAUGGACGAAAGUCUGACGGAGCAACGCCGCGUGAGUGAUGAAGGUUUUCGGAUCGUAAAACUCUGUUGUUAGGGAAGAACAAGUUGGGUAGUAACUGACCUAACCUUGACGGUACCUAACCAGAAAGCCACGGCUAACUACGUGCCAGCAGCCGCGGUAAU